RNAcentral lists this ribosomal RNA (56 nucleotides) under Staphylococcus aureus MUF256. RNAcentral describes it as "partial 16S ribosomal RNA". Lineage: Bacteria; Bacillati; Bacillota; Bacilli; Caryophanales; Staphylococcaceae. The record is from RNAcentral.
AAUUUUUAUGGAGAGUUUGAUCCUGGCUUCAGGAUGAACGCUGGCGGCGUGCCUAA